Homo sapiens (human) is the source of this 951-nucleotide long non-coding RNA. Ensembl annotates it as long intergenic non-protein coding RNA 970. Lineage: Eukaryota; Metazoa; Chordata; Mammalia; Primates; Hominidae. The record is from Ensembl.
GCACAUUUCACAGAUGGCACAGAGUGGGGAAGUCAGUGACCCAAGGUGGCAAGAGAUGGGGUCUCACUGUGUAACCUAGGAUGGGGUGCAGUGGUGGGAUCAUAUCUCACUGUAGCCUCAAACUCUUGAGCUCAAGAGAUCCUUCUGCCAUGGCCUCCCAAGGUGUUGAGAUUACAGCCAGCUCUUGCUGAUGGUGAGGAGCCUCAUUAUCUUAAGACAACACACAGUGGAGAUGUGCUUUACGUAAUUGGCCUGCCCUGUGAAAACCCCUGGCUGUUUUUUCAGAUAAGGAGACUGAAGCAUCUAGAGUUGGAGUAAUUUCCACAAGAUCACAGGUUAGUAUGAAAGAGGCAAGAUUUCACUCUGUCACCCAGACUGGAGUGCAGUGGCACAAACAUAGCUCACUGAAGCCUCAAACUCCUGGGCUCAAGAGAUCCUUCUGCUUCAGCCUCCUGAGUAGCUGGGACUUCAGAUUUCCUUUCCUUGGUGGCUGUGGGAAUCUCUGCCUUUGCACAGUAGCCUCCAGAAGCUUAGAGAAGGUGUGGGUGGACAAAGCAAAGCAGAGCCCUGACCUCACACCAGCUGGCUGAGCUGUCUUGGCUUGCAUUUGCUGUUCCAGCAUUUGUGGAGUUUGAAAUCUGCAUGCUUGGAGUGCGGAGAGCUGGAUCUUGCACCACAGUCUCCCUGUGGGCUCUUGAAUGAGAAAACCAGGGGAAGCAGAGGUAAGAACCUGUUCAAGAAGGCACAUCUCAGAUGUGGAAGAACCAUGAUUCAACUCGAGUCUGUCUGCUUCCCAAGACUGUGGUAUUUAAACAGCUUAUAAUGAAAAUUCCUUCUAUAGCUCCCCAUAAAAGGGCACACAGUUCUUUCUUAACGUAUUAUUUCAGGCAUUCAUUCACCAUUGAUGUAUUUGUGAAGGUGUUCUCUCUAAAUAAACUAUUGGGACCUUAC